UGGGCUUGACAGCCGCGUCUGCGGUUGUAUGACAAGCCCGCCCGCGGCCGAGUGUACA
Molecule: small nucleolar RNA, 58 nt
Filed under: Pyrobaculum islandicum DSM 4184
Lineage: Archaea; Thermoproteati; Thermoproteota; Thermoprotei; Thermoproteales; Thermoproteaceae
Description: Pyrobaculum sRNA 210
Rfam family: Pyrobaculum sRNA 210
About the family: Non canonical pseudouridylation guide sRNA features. Predicted to target tRNALys U54 in Pyrobaculum.
Source: Rfam by way of RNAcentral